UACGUAGGGUGCAAGCGUUAAUCGGAAUUAUUGGGCGUAAAGCGUGCGCAGGCGGUUAUGCAAGUCAGAUGUGAAAUCCCCGGGCUCAACCUGGGAACUGCAUUUGUGACUGCAUGGCUAGAGUACGGCAGAGGGGGAUGGAAUUCCGCGUGUAGCAGUGGAAUGCGUAGAUAUGCGGAGGAACACCGAUGGCGAAGGCAAUCCCCUGGGCCUGUACUGACGCUGACGCACGAAAGCGUGGGGAGCAAACAGG
Molecule: ribosomal RNA, 253 nt
Filed under: uncultured bacterium
Lineage: Bacteria
Description: partial 16S ribosomal RNA
Rfam family: Bacterial small subunit ribosomal RNA
Source: RNAcentral